This 21-nucleotide non-coding RNA is filed under the name Arabidopsis thaliana (thale cress). RNAcentral also lists the same sequence under 2 other names. The record is from RNAcentral. Lineage: Eukaryota; Viridiplantae; Streptophyta; Magnoliopsida; Brassicales; Brassicaceae.
CAUUGUGAAGCAGAAUUCACC